Molecule: ribosomal RNA, 484 nt
Filed under: Blastocystis sp.
Lineage: Eukaryota; Bigyra; Opalinata; Blastocystidae
Also listed under: 1 other name
Description: SSU rRNA
Rfam family: Eukaryotic small subunit ribosomal RNA
Source: RNAcentral
UGGAGGUAGUGACAAUAAAUCACAAUGCGGAACAAUGUUUUGCAAUUGGAUUGAGAACAACGUACAAACCUUAUCGAUAAACAAUUGGAGGGCAAGUCUGGUGCCAGCAGCCGCGGUAAUUCCAGCUCCAAUAGCGUAUAUUAACGUUGUUGCAGUUAAAAAGCUCGUAGUUGAAAUGAAGGGUAGUUGUGUAAUGAAUACAUUCGUGUAUUUUGUUAUUCAACUACCCUCCUUCUAAAUUCGAUAUAUGAGUAUUAAUUUACUUGUAUAUGGUUUUAGACCUUUACUGUGAGAAAAUUAGAGUGUUCAAAGCAGGCAUUUGCUUGAAUAUAUUAGCAUGGAAUAAUCAUGUAUGAUUUUCAUGAUGUAUUUGAUUGGUUUGGUUCAUGAGAAUAAGAUUAAAAGGGACAGUUGGGGGUAUUCAUAUUCAAUAGUCAGAGGUGAAAUUCUCGGAUUUAUGGAAGAUGAACAAGUGCGAAAGCAA